This 506-nucleotide ribosomal RNA is filed under the name uncultured bacterium. RNAcentral describes it as "partial 16S ribosomal RNA". It matches the Rfam family "Bacterial small subunit ribosomal RNA", at positions 28 to 523 of the family's 1533-position model. The record is from RNAcentral.
GAUGAACGCUAGCGGCAGGCCUAACACAUGCAAGUCGAGGGGCAGCACAUAAAGUGGUUUACUACUUUUGGUGGCGACCGGCGGACGGGUGCGUAACGCGUAUGCAACCUGCCUCCAACAGGGGGAUAACGGAGAGAAGUUUCCACUAAUACCCCAUAAUAUCAGAAUCGGCAUCGGUUUUGGUUGAAAACUCCGGUGGUUGGAGAUGGGCUUGCGUUGUAUUAGAUAGUUGGUGAGGUAACGGCUCACCAAGUCAACGAUACAUAGGGGGACUGAGAGGUUAGCCCCCCACACUGGUACUGAGACACGGACCAGACUCCUACGGGAGGCAGCAGUGAGGAAUAUUGGUCAAUGGGGGCAACCCUGAACCAGCCAUGCCGCGUGCAGGAAGACGGCUCUAUGAGUUGUAAACUGCUUUUACAAGGGGAUAAAUCGGUGUACGUGUACACCGUUGAAGGUACCUUGGGAAUAAGGAUCGGCUAACUCCGUGCCAGCCGCCGCGGUAA